AAGGAGAGCUUAAGUAAGCUGGCCAGAA
This 28-nucleotide non-coding RNA is filed under the name Rattus norvegicus (Norway rat). The record is from RNAcentral. Lineage: Eukaryota; Metazoa; Chordata; Mammalia; Rodentia; Muridae.